Molecule: ribosomal RNA, 227 nt
Filed under: Clostridioides difficile
Lineage: Bacteria; Bacillati; Bacillota; Clostridia; Peptostreptococcales; Peptostreptococcaceae
Description: partial 16S ribosomal RNA
Rfam family: Bacterial small subunit ribosomal RNA
Source: RNAcentral
UUUAAUUCGAAGCAACGCGAAGAACCUUACCUAAGCGUGACAUCCCAAUGACAUCUCCUUAAUCGGAGAGUUCCCUGCGGGGACAUUGGUGACAGGUGGUGCAUGGUUGUCGUCAGCUCGUGUCGUGGGAUGUUGGGUUAAGUCCCGCAACGAGCGCAACCCUUGUCUUUAGUUGCCAUCAUUAAGUUGGGCACUCUAGAGAGACUGCCAGGGAUAACCUGGAGGAA